CAAAACAAAGCCUAACCCAGAUGUUGACUGAAAAGAUGCAACAGAAGAUGAGAAGAAGUUACCAUCUAGAACAGUUUGAGGAGACCAAUCAAACGACACGAAAACGAGUAAAACCCGGCUUUUAAGUAACCAGUAAAAUCCUGGGGGAACCCAUGGCACCUAGAAAGAAGACAAACUAGGACCAGAAUAUAAAUGUAAAAGGAGCAUGUGUUUUUUUUAAUUAAUUGGGAUCUCCAGAUUCUGAGAAUCAUUCACAAUUACACGGCAAGAUCUGGUCUGCAUAUACGGAGCUUUUAUGUUACUAUUAUUGUUUUUUUUUUCCUUCAAUUAUCAAGGGAAAAUAACAACACGGAAAUCUUUUGAGUCUUUCAGAGCUUGGUUUGGUGGUAUCUGGUAAGGAGCAAACUGAAAAUUUUGAUCUUGGGAAGAACAUUCAAACCCCAAAUAUUAAAGCUUGGUUGGGUGGUUACGUACUGUUAAUUGUAGCCAAGUAGCAGAUUUGAGAGAGAAUCUUCCACUAACACCUAACUAUUCUUAAUGUUUCUGGCAGUAUCUUGAUCAAGGUAAAGAAGCAAUCUAUCUAUUGUCCAUGGCUUGGGUGAUACACUCACUAACAGAUCGAGGAUUUCCAACAUAUAUAGAGGCCCUUCUGUGGAUCAUUCAGUGGUAAAUGAAAGAUUUAUCCAAUUCUGUAGGUCCAAAGGACUUUCAGCUGUCAAAGUAGGACUUCAAUGAUCCAUUCUCCAGUAAACAUGCUAAACAUGCUUGAUCUGAAGAGGCAUCCUGGUCAGCGCUAGCAAUUGGUAUCUGGAAGUCGAACUACUAUUCAUACAAUUUGAGAUCAAGACGUAGUCUCCAUUUUUUUUUUUUUUCAAAAUAGAGCUUGCAAGUAUGGAAAAGCUUACAUUUUUAUGGCAUGCCAUGCCUUAAAACUUUUCAAGGAUUGAUGCUAGCUUAUCUUAAGACCUAACCCCGGUGUAGUUAUUUGUCAAUUCUACUUCGGACAAAGUUUUUUGAGGUCACACAUUUUGAUUCCCUGAGUCAGUUGUAAGCUAUUGAAAUAAUUAAAAAUCAAUAGUUUUUUUU
Molecule: long non-coding RNA, 1086 nt
Organism: Rosa rugosa (rugosa rose)
Lineage: Eukaryota; Viridiplantae; Streptophyta; Magnoliopsida; Rosales; Rosaceae
Exons: 2
Source: RefSeq, a predicted model, not a curated record